Molecule: ribosomal RNA, 1184 nt
Filed under: human gut metagenome
Description: bacterial LSU rRNA
Rfam family: Bacterial large subunit ribosomal RNA
Source: RNAcentral
CACGACACCGAAGCACAGGAUACCGCAAGGUAUGGUAGAGGAGCAUUGCUGGCGCAACGAAGCAGUACCGGAAGGAGCUGUGGAGUGCCAGGAAGAGAGAAUGCCGGAAUGAGUAGCGAGAGAGAGGUGGGAAUCCUCUCGGCCGAAUAUCCAAGGUUUCCAGGGUAAAGCUGAUCUGCCCUGGGUAAGUCGGGGCCUAAGGAGAGGCAGAAAUGCGUAUCCGAUGGACAGCAGGUUGAGAUUCCUGCACUAUCUUAAAACAGAACUGUGGGGACAUUUGUGGAGAGCACAGGCGCGGAAUGGAAAGCCGCGUGCAAGCGAAGGAGGAGUCACAUAGGAAAACCCGUGUGGCAAUCCAAAGGCGUGAUGCGGACCGAAUGAAAGUAGGGAAGUGUGUGAGCCAUGAAUCAAGAAAAGCCGCUAUUGUUUUUAAGAUACCCGUACCGUAAACCGACACAGGUGGAUGAGGAGAGAAUCCUAAGGCCGGCGGAAGAAGCAUUGUUAAGGAACUCGGCAAAAUGACCCCGUAACUUCGGGAGAAGGGGUGCCAACGAGAGUUGGCCGCAGAGAAUAGGCUCAAGCAACUGUUUAGCAAAAACACAGGUCUAUGCAAAACCGUAAGGUGAGGUAUAUGGGCUGACGCCUGCCCGGUGCUGGAAGGUUAAGAGGAGAGGUUAGCGCAAGCGAAGCUUUGAAUUUAAGCCCCAGUAAACGGCGGCCGUAACUAUAACGGUCCUAAGGUAGCGAAAUUCCUUGUCGGGUAAGUUCCGACCCGCACGAAAGGCGUAAUGAUUUGAGCGCUGUCUCGACAAUGCAUCCGGUGAAAUUGAAGUACCAGUGAAGAUGCUGGUUACCCGCGCCAGGACGGAAAGACCCCAUGGAGCUUUACUCCAGUUUGGUACUGGGGUCCGGCAGUGCAUGUACAGGAUAGGUGGGAGGCUGUGAACCUGGAACGCCAGUUUCAGGGGAGCCAUUGUUGGGAUACCACCCUUGUGCUGCUGGGCUUCUAACCAGCGGCCUUUAUCAGGCCGGGGGACAAUGCCAGACGGGGAGUUUGACUGGGGCGGUCGCCUCCGAAAGGGGAUCGGAGGCGCUCAAAGGUUCCCUCAGAAUGGUCGGAAACCAUUCGAAGAGUGCAAAGGCAGAAGGGAGCUUGACUGCGACACCGACGGGUGGAGCAGGUA